AUUGAACGCUGGCGGCAUGCCUUACACAUGCAAGUCGAACGGCAGCACGGGUGCUUGCACCUGGUGGCGAGUGGCGAACGGGUGAGUAAUACAUCGGAACAUGUCCUGUAGUGGGGGAUAGCCCGGCGAAAGCCGGAUUAAUACCGCAUACGAUCUACGGAUGAAAGCGGGGGACCUUCGGGCCUCGCGCUAUAGGGUUGGCCGAUGGCUGAUUAGCUAGUUGGUGGGGUAAAGGCCUACCAAGGCGACGAUCAGUAGCUGGUCUGAGAGGACGACCAGCCACACUGGGACUGAGACACGGCCCAGACUCCUACGGGAGGCAGCAGUGGGGAAUUUUGGACAAUGGGCGAAAGCCUGAUCCAGCAAUGCCGCGUGUGUGAAGAAGGCCUUCGGGUCGUAAAGCACUUUUGUCCGGAAAGAAAUCCUUGGCCCUAAUACGGUCGGGGGAUGACGGUACCGGAAGAAUAAGCACCGGCUAACUACGUG
This 486-nucleotide ribosomal RNA is filed under the name uncultured bacterium. Its description in RNAcentral is "partial 16S ribosomal RNA". It matches the Rfam family "Bacterial small subunit ribosomal RNA", at positions 30 to 507 of the family's 1533-position model. The record is from RNAcentral.